UGGGGAAUAUUGGACAAUGGGCGAAAGCCUGAUCCAGCCAUGCCGCGUGUGUGAAGAAGGUCUUCGGAUUGUAAAGCACUUUAAGUUGGGAGUAAGGGCAGUAAGCGAAUACCUUGCUGUUUUGACGUUACCGACAGAAUAAGCACCGGCUAACUCUGUGCCAGCAUCCGCUGUAAUACAGAGGGUGCAAGCGUUAAUCGGAAUUACUGGGCGUAAAGCGCGCGUAGGUGGUUCGUUAAGUUGAAUGUGAAAGCCCCGGGCUCAACCUGGGAACUGCAUCCAAAACUGGCGAGCUAGAGUAGGGCAGAGGGUGGUGGAAUUUCCUGUGUAGCGGUGAAAUGCGUAGCUAUAGGAAGGAACACCAGUGGCGAAAGCGACCACCUGGGCUCAUACUGACACUGAGGUGUGAAAGCGUGGGGAGCAAACAGG
RNAcentral lists this ribosomal RNA (429 nucleotides) under Pseudomonadota bacterium. Its description in RNAcentral is "Proteobacteria bacterium partial 16S ribosomal RNA". It matches the Rfam family "Bacterial small subunit ribosomal RNA", at positions 355 to 776 of the family's 1533-position model. Lineage: Bacteria; Pseudomonadati; Pseudomonadota. The record is from RNAcentral.